Molecule: ribosomal RNA, 253 nt
Filed under: uncultured bacterium
Lineage: Bacteria
Description: partial 16S ribosomal RNA
Rfam family: Bacterial small subunit ribosomal RNA
Source: RNAcentral
UACGUAGGUGGCAAGCGUUGUCCGGAAUUAUUGGGCGUAAAGCGCGCGCAGGCGGUCCUUUAAGUCUGAUGUGAAAGCCCACGGCUCAACCGUGGAGGGUCAUUGGAAACUGGGGGACUUGAGUACAGAAGAGAAGAGUGGAAUUCCACGUGUAGCGGUGAAAUGCGUAGAGAUGUGGAGGAACACCAGUGGCGAAGGCGACUCUUUGGUCUGUAACUGACGCUGAGGCACGAAGGCCAGGGGAGCAAACGGG